RNAcentral lists this ribosomal RNA (321 nucleotides) under uncultured eukaryote. RNAcentral describes it as "partial 18S ribosomal RNA". It matches the Rfam family "Eukaryotic small subunit ribosomal RNA", at positions 1470 to 1796 of the family's 1831-position model. The record is from RNAcentral.
CCCUUAGAUGUUCUGGGCCGCACGCGCGCUACACUGACGCAUUCAACGAGUCUCCUUGGCCGAGAGGCCUGGGUAAUCUUGUGAACGUGCGUCGUGAUAGGGAUAGAUUAUUGCAAUUAUUAAUCUUGAACGAGGAAUUCCUAGUAAACGCAGAUCAUCAAUCUGCAUUGAUUACGUCCCUGCCCUUUGUACACACCGCCCGUCGCACCUACCGAUUGGAUGGUCCGGUGAAGCCUCGGGAUUGUGGCCGGUGCAUUCAUUUGUGUCGGUUGCGAGAACUUGUCUAAACCUUAUCAUCUAGAGGAAGGUGAANUCGUAACA